AUUGAACGCUGGCGGAAUGCUUUACACAUGCAAGUCGAACGGCAGCACGGGGGCAGCCCUGGUGGCGAGUGGCGAACGGGUGAGUAAUACAUCGGAACGUGCCCGGUCGUGGGGGAUAACGUAGCGAAAGUUACGCUAAUACCGCAUACGAUCUGAGGAUGAAAGCGGGGGACCUUCGGGCCUCGCGCGAUCGGAGCGGCCGAUGUCAGAGUAGGUAGUUGGUGGGGUAAAGGCCUACCAAGCCGACGAUCUGUAGCUGGUCUGAGAGGACGACCAGCCACACUGGGACUGAGACACGGCCCAGACUCCUACGGGAGGCAGCAGUGGGGAAUUUUGGACAAUGGGCGCAAGCCUGAUCCAGCCAUUCCGCGUGCAGGACGAAGGCCUUCGGGUUGUAAACUGCUUUUGUACGGAACGAAAAGGCUCUGGCUAAUACCUGGGGCUCAUGACGGUACCGUAAGAAUAAGCACCGGCUAACUACGUG
Molecule: ribosomal RNA, 484 nt
Filed under: uncultured bacterium
Lineage: Bacteria
Description: partial 16S ribosomal RNA
Rfam family: Bacterial small subunit ribosomal RNA
Source: RNAcentral